CUGGCUCAGGAUGAACGCUAGCUACAGGCUAACACAUGCAAGUCGAGGGCAUCAGGGCGAUAGCUGCUAUCGUGCUGGCGACCGGCGCACGGGUGAGUAACGCGUAUCCAACCUGGCCCCCAGUAGGGAAUAGCCCGGCGAAAGUCGGAUUAAUGCCCUAUGUUAUCCGAAGAGGACAUCUGAUUUGGAUUAAAGAUUUAUCGCUGGGGGAUGGGGAUGCGUCCGAUUAGGUAGUAGGCGGGGCAACGGCCCACCUAGCCGACGAUCGGUAGGGGUUCUGAGAGGAAGGUCCCCCACACUGGAACUGAGACACGGUCCAGACUCCUACGGGAGGCAGCAGUGAGGAAUAUUGGUCAAUGGGCGCAAGCCUGAACCAGCCAAGUAGCGUGCAGGAUGACGGCCCUACGGGUUGUAAACUGCUUUUGGAGGGGAAUAACAGGCACUACGUGUAGUGUUUUGCAUGUACCCUCAGAAUAAGGACCGGCUAAUUCCGUGCCAGCAGCCGC
RNAcentral lists this ribosomal RNA (506 nucleotides) under uncultured bacterium. RNAcentral describes it as "bacterial SSU rRNA". It matches the Rfam family "Bacterial small subunit ribosomal RNA", at positions 19 to 518 of the family's 1533-position model. The record is from RNAcentral.